RNAcentral lists this ribosomal RNA (775 nucleotides) under uncultured Neocallimastigales. Its description in RNAcentral is "partial large subunit ribosomal RNA". It matches the Rfam family "Eukaryotic large subunit ribosomal RNA", at positions 22 to 635 of the family's 3401-position model. The record is from RNAcentral. Lineage: Eukaryota; Fungi; Neocallimastigomycota; Neocallimastigomycetes; Neocallimastigales.
GUACACGCUGUGACUAGCAUAUCAAUAAGCGGAGGAAAAGAAACUAACAAGGAUUCCCCUAGUAACGGCGAGUGAAGCGGGAAGAGCUCAAAUUUGAAAUCUUAAAGGGUUUCCCUUUACGAAUUGUAGUUUAAAGAAGUGUUUUCUGUUGAGGUUUUGGUAAGAGUUCUUUGGAAUAGGACAUCAUAGAGGGUGAGAAUCCCGUAUUUGACCUUUACUUUCAACUUUGUGAUACACUUUCAAAGAGUCGGAUUGUUUGGGAAUGCAGUCCAAAAUGGGUGGUAAAUUUCAUCUAAAGCUAAAUAUUGGCGAGAGACCGAUAGCGAACAAGUACCGUGAGGGAAAGAUGAAAAGAACUUUGAAAAGAGAGGUUAAACAGUACGUGAAAUUGUCAAAAGGGAAGCGUUUGACACCAGUGUUGUUUUUCUGAAAAUCAAUUAAAGAACUGUUUAUGCUAAGUUGUUUAGACUUUAUCAGCUAACUGUUUAGUUUUGAGCUUUUCUUUAAUGCACUUUUCAGUUAACAAGUCAACAUCAAUUUCUUUUGCUGUAAAAAAGCUUGAGGAAGGUGGCUUGAGAUUCGUCUUAAGUGUUUAUAGCCUCUUGCCUAUGCAGUCGGAGAGAUUGAGGUCUGCAGCGUAGAUCCUUCGGGGCUAAAUGCAUUUGUGCUAAGUUAUAGCAUUUUAUAGACAACUUGUUGACUAUGAUUUGUCUUGUAGCUUACUCGCUUAUGUUAUUUUACCUACGCUUAGGAUGUUGAAGAUGUAGCACAUCAU